Long non-coding RNA from Pogonomyrmex barbatus (red harvester ant), 674 nucleotides. The record is from RefSeq and is a predicted model, not a curated record. Lineage: Eukaryota; Metazoa; Arthropoda; Insecta; Hymenoptera; Formicidae.
CGUUGGGCGAUAGAUUGAUGGUCACGGCGUGUUUGAGAACUUGGCCGUCGUUGCACUGCGACAGUGCAUUUGUAACUAAUCUGUCUUACAAUAUUCAAGUGAGAGAAAAACAUUCAAAAACAUGUGCGCCCGUAAUCUGCACAUUAAAUUGAAAACCGUUGAUUUUCGAUAGUGUCCAAAAUAAUAACUGCGCCACCCUUUAGUUGAACGACUCGUUGACGAAAUGUAAGAUGUAAAAGGUGCCUUCUGUGCUGUGGGUAAAUUCCCGAAGACAAUUCAAGAAUACCGACAUUAUCAACCGCGAUACCACAUCUGAUCUUUUUAAGAGUCGUCAGGAGAGAUUAUGGAGAUCUCUCUAUCUUAGAUGAACUCUUGUUCAUCCACAUUGUGGCUAAAUAUAUUGAGAGAUUUGUAAUGUAAUUGCGACAUUUAUAAUUCAGGAGAAUUAUUUGCAGUUCUCUAUAGGGUAAUUUUUUUAAAAAAGCAAGAAUAAAUAAUUAGCUUAAUAUGUAACUAGAUUUGCACUGCAGAGUGCAAUAAAGUGCAGAUACUUUUAGGUAUUGUAAAUAUUUAAAAAUCAAACUACAAAAUCCGACUCUGUAGCAACUUUCGUAGUUUUGUACAACAAAGACAAAAAAGUUUCUUAUCAAAAAUAUUACUUCUGUAAGAUGAAA